AUUGAUGUUCCUAAGAAAGCUGAAACAAUCACAGAAAGAGUUUACUCAGCCCCAGAAUAAGGGAUCUUAGAACUGAAAGGAUCUCUGUUAUCAUACAAUGGAUGUAUUAAUAGUGGUCAUCCUCGGUCUCAGAAUCAGUGUUGUCAGCACCUCAAUGCUCUUCGUACACUUUAUCAGAAAGCGACUUAUUUAGAGAGAGAGAGAAACAGGAGAAGGAGAAAGAAACAGCUAACUCUCACACUGAGUGACAGAAUCCAGAAAGAUGGAAAUCCAAGGAAGAAAAGCGGCUUCCACACUGAGUAGAAGGGAACAGAGAGAGAGAUGGAGUUUAGGAGAGGGGAAAGCAGUUUCCACGAG
This 357-nucleotide long non-coding RNA is filed under the name Aotus nancymaae (Ma's night monkey). Its description in RNAcentral is "lncRNA (ENSANAG00000039533.1)". Lineage: Eukaryota; Metazoa; Chordata; Mammalia; Primates; Aotidae. The record is from RNAcentral.